RNAcentral lists this ribosomal RNA (460 nucleotides) under uncultured bacterium. RNAcentral's name for it is "partial 16S ribosomal RNA". It matches the Rfam family "Bacterial small subunit ribosomal RNA", at positions 338 to 795 of the family's 1533-position model. The record is from RNAcentral.
CCUACGUGAGGCAGCAGUGAGGAAUAUUGGUCAAUGGGCGCGAGCCUGAACCAGCCAAGUAGCGUGAAGGAUGACUGCCCUACGGGUUGUCAACUUCUUUUAUAAAGGCAUAAAGUGAGGCACGUGUGCCUUUUUGUAUGUACUUUAUGAAUAAGCAUCGGCUAACUCCGUGCCAGCAGCCGCGGUAAUACGGAGGAUCCGAGCGUUAUCCGGAUUUAUUGGGUUUAAAGGGAGCGUAGACGGGUUGUCAAGUCAGGUGUGAAAGUUUGCGGCUCAACCGUAAAAUUGCACUUGAUACUGGAAGUCUUGAGUACAGGUGAGGUAGGUGGAAUUCGUGGUGUAGCGGUGAAAUGCGUAGAUAUCACGAAGAACUCCGAUGGCGAAGGCAGCUUACUAAACUGCCACUGACAUUGAUGCUCGAAAGUGUGGGUAUCAAACAGGAUUAGAUACCCUUGUAGUC